AUGGAGAGACUCGUGAUUGGGAAGGAGGAAAACACACAGACACACACACUCAUCUCCCUCCAUCCUCUUCCUCUCACUCCGCCCCCCGAGGGGCGGUACCCUGGUCCCUGGGGGAGGUUUAGGCCGAGGACCCGGGAGCGCGGCGGGCCGGGGAGAAGGGCUUGGGUUUCGCAGCCCCAGCCGGGAGGCCGGUGGUGCGGCGGCCCCUCCCCUGCGAUCCCUUCCCCUCCUCCCCGUCUCCUCCGCCCCAUCCUCCUCCGGGUCCCCGGCAGCCGAGGCUCUGGGAGCAGCCGGCGGCGCAGCGGCCGCGCAGCCUUUGUCUCGGGGCAGCCGGGCGGAGGGCCCAGCGCAGGCGGCAGAGGCCACACGGGGACGCAGGAGGCAGAGGACAGGCAGUGAUGAAGCAACGGGAGAGGACCGGGCCGGCGUCACCAGCACCAGCACCAUCACCAUCACCAUCACCAUCACCAUCACCACCAUCACCAUCACUGACCUGCGCCCAUCCCGGCUUCCCCCACCUCCUCCCCGGUGUAAAGACAACUUUAUCAGAUUAUUUCCUUUUCACGGGUAAUACUUUGAAAAAGCAUCGGAGCUCCUCAAAUCAGAGAUCAGAGGGGCUUGCAGUCAUCUGUCCGGGGCCGGUUAACUAAGGUAGCAAUCAGGCUUCGAUGCUCUCGGUUUUUCUAAUUCUGGUGCUGGAGAGGUCUGAUUAAAAACUCCCCCUCACUUGGUAAUGAUGAUGAUGAUGAUGUUGAUGAUGAUGAUCAAGUAUAAAGUAAUAUCCUCACUAAAUUAGAUAAUCAGGAGUUU
Molecule: long non-coding RNA, 810 nt
Filed under: Bos indicus x Bos taurus (hybrid cattle)
Lineage: Eukaryota; Metazoa; Chordata; Mammalia; Artiodactyla; Bovidae
Description: lncRNA (ENSBIXG00000021363.1)
Source: RNAcentral